This 756-nucleotide ribosomal RNA is filed under the name uncultured bacterium. Its description in RNAcentral is "bacterial SSU rRNA". It matches the Rfam family "Bacterial small subunit ribosomal RNA", at positions 8 to 796 of the family's 1533-position model. The record is from RNAcentral.
AGAGUUUGAUCCUGGCUCAGAAUCAACGCUGGCGGCGUGCCUAACACAUGCAAGUCGAGCGAGAAAGUGGAGCAAUCCAUGAGUAAAGCGGCGCACGGGUGAGUAACACGUGACUAACCUACCCUUGAGUGGGGAAUAACCUGGGGAAACCCGGGCUAAUACCGCAUAACACCUACGGGUCAAAGGAGCAAUUCGCUUAAGGAGGGGGUCGCGGCAGAUUAGUUAGUUGGCGGGGUAAUGGCCCACCAAGACGAUGAUCUGUAUCCGGCCUGAGAGGGUGCACGGACACACUGGAACUGAAACACGGUCCAGACUCCUACGGGAGGCAGCAGUGGGGAAUUUUGCGCAAUGGGGGAAACCCUGACGCAGCAACGCCGCGUGGAGGAUGAAGUCCCUUGGGACGUAAACUCCUUUCGACCGGGACGAUUAUGACGGUACCGGAUGAAGAAGCCCCGGCUAACUUCGUGCCAGCAGCCGCGGUAAUACGAGGGGGGCGAGCGUUGUUCGGAAUUAUUGGGCGUAAAGGGUGCGUAGGCGGUUCCGCAAGUCUUAUGUGAAAUCUUCGGGCUCAACUCGAAGCCUGCAUAGGAAACUACGGGGCUUGAGUGUGGGAGAGGUGAGUGGGAUUCCCGGUGUAGCGGUGAAAUGCGUAGAUAUCGGGAGGAACACCUGUGGCGAAAGCGGCUCACUGGACCAUAACUGACGCUGAUGCACGAAAGCUGGGGGAGCAAACAGGAUUAGAUACCCUAGUAGUCC